CGGAGAUCAGGCAUUUCUCGGCAUCAAAUGUGGUCCCAUGUGACCUUUUCACAAAUAACUCAGCAGGGGAUGAAUGUAUGUAAGGGAACUCACCUGCCACAUAUAAAUGCUGAGACAGAGGCGUGUAGACAGUGCCAGGGGAGGACGAGAGAGGUACCUACUCACUCUGCUGAGCAGGAGCAGGGCUGGAGCCUGGAGGACAAACAGACAGAGGAAGAGCAUUCCUGGUGGGGGACCAGGGUACAAAGGCACAAAGGGGAGGGGACACAGGCGGUGCCAUGAGGCUAGAGUGUAGGAUGCAUAUGGGGCUGGGGCUCUCCUAGACCCAGUCUUACGGACAAGGCCAGUCUCUGGUCCCAUCCACAACCACUCAUGGAGUUUGGGCUCAACCCCAGAGGCCAUAGGCAGAUGCGAGGGUAUUCAGGCGCAGAGGGGCACUUUACCAUAGCACAAGCCCCAGGAUGUGUCUGGGGACAGGUGCGAGGCAAGCCCCUUUUGAGCGAUGGGCCCCUGCAUGGCCAUCCUGCCUGACCGAGCUCCUCCAUUCUCAUCUCCUCCUGAGGUUUGCUGAAGAAGGAAGGACCCAGCCUCCGCUCCCUCGGACACCAUCCCACACCACCUGCCACCCUUCCUGGUUUAACUGAGUCAGGAAAUCAUGUCGAAAGGAGAGACUUCUAGGGAAGUCAUCCUGUAGGAAUCAAACAUUCUGUGGCUGCAGGAAAACCACUGGCAUCCCUAUCUCUGACAUCAAAAGCCCCUGAGUCCACCAGCUGAUUCCUCAGCAGUCCUGAAUGUACAGUAAAAACUGGCCCAGUGGGUUUUCCCCGUAUCCUCACAGCACACUCCAGGAUUUCCUGUGUGUGUUUCUGUGUCAUCUAGUGGGAUGACAUAAGCACCAGCCACGAAAGCAGUGGGGGUAGAUGGGGUUGGCUGAGGAAUCUUGAUGCCAGCUCUGAAUCUAGUUGGGAAGGCCAAACAUGUCAGAGCCAAGCUUAGGGAGACAGUUGUUAAUCGUGGUGGCUCUCGUAGGGGCUCUGGUACAGGGGCUGCGGACUCACGUCAAGCUAGGCUCUAGGACUUUGUGCAAGAUUUUCCAUGAGCUUGCAGUGAGAACUCUUGUCCCGUCAAUGUUUCAAUGUUUCCACGUGGCCUGGGACACAGACAGACAGUGUCAGGCUCAAGACGUUGGUUCUGCUUCUCACCCACGGCCCAGGCCCUGAAUGUUAUCUCUGAUCCCCUGGGACUUGGGAUCUAAAGGCCUGAGGAUCAGGCUGGGCAUAGAAGAGACCAGUGCUGGGAGUCAGACACAGGAUUUUGAGACUGACUUCUUCCACUUACUCACCGUGUGGCCCUGGAGGGGUAACUUAACCUCUCUGAGCCUUAACCUCUUCCCUCAACCUCAUGGCGCGUGAACUAAACAAGGUAAUACCUGGACAGUCCUAAGCUCAGCAGCGAUGGGCCCCCCAGCAGAGCUGAGUAAACUUUGGCUACAAUUAUAAGCUGUUAUAAAGCACUUGGCAUGGAAUAAAUACUCUACAAAUAAGCACCAUGCAAGUCUAAAUAGUUAUUAAUUAUUAUGAUGACUAAUCAUCAUUAUUGUUGAUGAUAAACGUGAGAACUGCUACCCAAACACCAGCUCCCCCACUCAAUCUGUCUGCAGAUAGUUAUCACUCCUCAACCACGAAGAAUAUUCUGGGACCCAGAAAGAUUGCCGGCCCCAAGCUGGCAAACAGGGAGCUCUGUCCUCCCCUCAACCCUCUGAGCGGCACUUCACGGGCUGUCACCCCGACAGGUGACAUUCACCCAAACACAUCCCAUCUGGCUAGUUAGGCUGCUUUCAGUCUACCUUGGAUGGGCUCCUCUGCCUCUGGGUGUUAAAAAUUUUGGAUAUCACCUAAACAAGAAUACCCCUUGGCAAUUCCUUGAGCCCUGGCUCAUGGGCAACAGGCAGACCUGAGGGUAGAAAGUGACCUGGGAAACUCCUGGACUAGCUCUGGGAACUCUGCCUCUGGGAUGAGGGCAGAUAGGUAAGGAGCAGGCUCUGGUGAGCAUGCGACGCUCACCACCAUCCUGAAAAAUGAAUUAGAGCAAGGUCUACAGAGGUACCCAGGCCUAGCUCAGCCCCAGCAUAGUAGGGACCCAAUAAAUACACAGAUGGAUAGAUGGAUGGGUAGGUGGAUGGAUGGAUGGAUGGAUGGAUGGGUGAAUGGAUGCAUGCAUGCAUGCAUGCCUAGAUAGAUGGAAGGGAGGAUAUUAAUCAUGCCUUUUUAUUUUUGGUAUCUCGGACACUUUGAUACCUGGAGCUUUGCUGACCCUGCAGAGACUGCCCCUCCCAAGGGUAGUCAAUUCCUAGAGGAUGAUCUGACCCACAACUUUGCUCCAUGCUUUGAAAGAAGCAGCUUCCUCCUAGCAGCUUGUGGAUGUGCUGGAGAGAACGUCCCUUCGAAGUAUCCUAGGCCAACGAGAAACACAGCAUGUGGGGGCAGACCUGGAUCUGCAUCGUGGCCUUGCUGUUUACUGGCUGUGAGACCUUGGACAAGUGACUUAACCUCUCUUGACUCGCUUCCUCAACCACUACCUAUAUAUACCUACCUUCCAAUUUCUUUGAUGCCAGAAAGAGAAGAUGCACGCCUCGCACGGUGGCCAGCUCAGAGCGUGCACUCCAUAAACAAUGAGUCUUACUUGGAUAUCGUGCCAUCCUGCACCCCGAGUGCCAUCUGGCAGAAAGACUGUGCUAUUAGGUCUAAAUGUCUUCCUCCCUCCGAAGCCCCUAUUUGGGUCUCUCGGUCUGGGCCUCCCAGAAAGUUGUCUUAACCUCCCAGCACUGGGGACACAGCGGGCAGCACACUUGCCGCCCUAUGUAAAGGAACCAGAAGGCCCUCCGCGUGGGUCCUGUCUCUGACCCCUUCCUGCUGAGAUUCUGUUUGGCUUCCCCUGCUGGUUUUAAAGUGAGGAGGGGAUGGAGCUUUACACUGGGAUAGCAUUUCAAUUUCCCCAUCUCCCCGGUACACCAUCACUCGGUAAAAAGAGCUAAUUUUAAAAUGGCUGCUCUUAUGGACGAGAUUAAUGGAUCUUGAAGAGCGGCCAGUAUACCAACUGCUCCUGCAGCCAUGAUGAAAGCUAAUAAUGUAGAAAAUUCUGCCAAUUCCUUUAAUUCAUGAAUAUUUAAGCCUGUGAAAAAUCUGUCAGAUUAUAUCAUUUUUUUCUGGUGAUUUUCCGCCUAAGUACAUUUGUGGCAGCCUGCCAGUUGCUCAAGAAACUUCAGUGGGCGCAAAACCAUUUUUGUUGUUGUUGUCACUAGGGGCUGCCGUGUUCUUGCCGAAUUUAUCCCCCAUCCCAGGAUGGAGUCAGGUUCGCCGGAGACAGCCAAAGGCAACUCUUGGGAUUUUACCUCAGCAAAUAGACUCUUCUCCUCACCCAAAGGCUGACAGCGGGGGUGGGGCCCUUUGAGAGCAAAGCCCGUGGUUUUCAAACUGUGUUCCACGGUACCCAAGGGUUCCCCCGGGGUGGGGGGGUCCCAGGGGAUCUCUGGGAGGGGUGUGGGUUGGGAAUGCUGAGUGGAUGGGGCUGUGACCCUCCCCCCGCCUCCACCAAGCAUUUCUGCUUUCCGUAUUGAGGUUCCAUGUAAAAUUGCCUUGGAAAGAAGUGUUGCCCCAAAUUUAA
Long non-coding RNA from Callorhinus ursinus (northern fur seal), 3663 nucleotides. RefSeq lists it as uncharacterized. The record is from RefSeq and is a predicted model, not a curated record. NCBI's taxonomy places the organism in Eukaryota, Metazoa, Chordata, Mammalia, Carnivora, Otariidae.